RNAcentral lists this transfer RNA (77 nucleotides) under Rickettsiales bacterium. Its description in RNAcentral is "tRNA-Met". It matches the Rfam family "tRNA". From Rfam's summary of the family: Transfer RNA (tRNA) molecules are approximately 80 nucleotides in length. Lineage: Bacteria; Pseudomonadati; Pseudomonadota; Alphaproteobacteria; Rickettsiales. The record is from RNAcentral.
GGCGAAGUAGCUCAGCUGGUUAGAGCGUCGGAAUCAUAAUCCGUAGGUCGAGGGUUCGAGCCCCCCCUUCGCUACCA